RNAcentral lists this ribosomal RNA (253 nucleotides) under uncultured bacterium. RNAcentral's name for it is "partial 16S ribosomal RNA". It matches the Rfam family "Bacterial small subunit ribosomal RNA", at positions 524 to 776 of the family's 1533-position model. The record is from RNAcentral.
UACGGAGGUGGCAAGCGUUGCUCGGAAUCACUGGGCGUAAAGGGCGCGUAGGCGGGGAGGGAAGUCGGGUGUGAAAUCCCUCGGCCCAACCGAGGAACUGCGCCCGAGACUGCUUCUCUUGAGUCCCGGAGAGGAAGAUGGAAUUCCCGGUGUAGCGGUGAAAUGUGUAGAGAUCGGGAGGAACACCGGUGGCGAAGGCGGUCUUCUGGACGGUGACUGACGCUGAGGCGCGAAAGCGUGGGGAGCAAACGGG